UGGGGAAUAUUGCACAAUGGGCGAAAGCCUGAUGCAGCAACGCCGCGUGAACGAUGAAGGCCUUCGGUCGUAAAGUUCUGUCCUCAAGGAAGAUAAUGACGGUACCUGACUAAGAAGCACCGGCUAAAUACGUGCCAGCAGCCGCGGUAAUACGUAGGGGGCAAGCGUUAUCCGGAUUUACUGGGUGUAAAGGGAGCGCAGGCGGUCCUGCAAGUCUGAUGUGAAAGCCCGGGGCUCAACCCCGGGACUGCAUUGGAAACUGUGGGACUUGAGUGUCGGAGGGGCAAGUGGAAUUCCUAGUGUAGCGGUGAAAUGCGUAGAUAUUAGGAGGAACACCAGUGGCGAAGGCGGCUUGCUGGACGACAACUGACGCUGAGGCUCGAAAGCGUGGGGAGCAAACAGGAUU
This 406-nucleotide ribosomal RNA is filed under the name uncultured Lachnospiraceae bacterium. RNAcentral's name for it is "bacterial SSU rRNA". It matches the Rfam family "Bacterial small subunit ribosomal RNA", at positions 355 to 779 of the family's 1533-position model. The record is from RNAcentral. Lineage: Bacteria; Bacillati; Bacillota; Clostridia; Lachnospirales; Lachnospiraceae.